GCCAGACUCCUACGGGAGGCAGCAGUGGGGAAUAUUGCGCAAUGGGGGGAACCCUGAUGCAGCGACGCCGCGUGGGCGAGGAAGUAUUUCGGUAUGUAAAGCCCUAUCGGCAGGGAAGAAGAAAUGACGGUACCUGAAUAAGAAGCACCGGCUAAAUACGUGCCAGCAGCCGCGGUAAUACGGAGGAUGCGAGCGUUAUCCGGAUUUAUUGGGUUUAAAGGGUGCGUAGGCGGGCUUUUAAGUCAGCGGUAAAAAUUCGGGGCUCAACCCCGUCCGGCCGUUGAAACUGGGGGCCUUGAGUGGGCGAGAAGAAGGCGGAAUGCGUGGUGUAGCGGUGAAAUGCAUAGAUAUCACGCAGAACCCCGAUUGCGAAGGCAGCCUUCCGGCGCCCUACUGACGCUGAGGCACGAAAGUGCGGGGAUCGAACAGGAUUAGAUACCCGAGUAA
Molecule: ribosomal RNA, 447 nt
Filed under: uncultured bacterium
Lineage: Bacteria
Description: bacterial SSU rRNA
Rfam family: Bacterial small subunit ribosomal RNA
Source: RNAcentral